UGUGAGUCGCUCUAUUCCAGCCCAUUUUCAGAUGCGGGAGACACUGACGGGAGGGGCCACUUGGUCAGCUCAAGGUCGAGCCAGUCAACCAGACCACGCAAAUCCACACUGCCCGCUCCCCCUCGCCGCCGGCGCCACCGCCACCGCGCCGCCGCCUACACCAGCACACCAUGCUCCGCCUCCACAAGUGCAUCCUCACCCAGCUGCUCCCUCGUACCUCUGCCUCCACCUCCCCACUCCACCGUCUCAUCUCCGCCGCCGCGCCCGCCGCAUCCCCAGGCCCCAGCUUCGCCGUGGAGGACUACCUCGUCGCCACCUGCGGCCUCACCCGAGCGCAGGCGCUCAAGGCCUCCACGAAGCUCUCCCACCUCAAGUCGCCAGCCAAUCCCGACGCCGUCCGCUCCUUCCUCGCCGGUCUCGGCCUCUCCACCGCCCACGUCGCAGCGCUCGUCGCCAAGGACCCCAAGUUCCUCUGCGCAAGCGUGGAGAGGACCCUGGCUCCCGUCGCCGUCGGGCUCGCCGGCCUCGGCCUCUCGCGUCCCGGAGUCGCGCGGCUCGUCUCGCUCGCCGGCGAGUUCUUCCGCGGCAGAUCCGUCGCCUCGAGGCUGGCCUACUUCCUCUUCCUCUUCGGCUCCUACGAGGACCUCCUCCGGGUGCUCAAGCACAGCCCCAAUCUCCUCGGAUGCGACCUCGACCGGGUCAUCAAGCCCAACGUCGCCUUCCUGCGGGAGUGCGGGCUAGGUGCUUGCGAUAUUGUCAGGCUGUGCAACCGUGUGCCAUGGCUGCUCGGCAAUAACCCGGAGCGCGUCCGGGCGAUAGUGGCGUGCGCCGAAGGGCUCGGUGUGCCCCGUGGAUCGGGGAUGUUCGGGCAAGCGCUGCAAGCUGUCGCAUUCCUCACCCAGGAGAAAAUCACCGCCAAGGUCGAGCACUUGAAGAAGAUGUUCCGGUGGUCGGAUGCCGAGGUGGGCAUUGCUGUUUCUAAGGCUCCGGCGGUGCUGCUGAAGGCCAAAGAAUCGCUGCAGCGCAGGUCCGAGUUCCUCAUCUCCGAGGUGGGGUUGGAACCUGCAUACAUUGCUUUUCGUCCAGCAAUGCUCAUGUACAGCUUGGAGGGCAGGAUCAGACCCCGGUACUACGUUGUAAAGUUUCUCAAGGAAAAUGGAUUGCUAAAUCAUGACCGGGACUACUAUAAUACAAUCGUGAUCAGCGAGAAGGUAUUUAUGGACAAGUUCAUAUGCCCUCACAAGAAAUCUGCACCGCACCUUGCUGAAGACUAUGCAGCAGCUUGCAGAGGGGAAGUGUCCGUGAGAUUCAUAUCUGCAUGAACCAACAGCAGGGUGUUGAAUUUUGAAAAUGUGUACUGCACAAUGAAGAUUUCGCUCUGCCACCCAAUAAAGAACAUAGAAGAACCAGCCAAAGUUCGCGCUGACCAGAGGAAGCGUAGAAAGGUUGGCGAAAUCACAAGUCCAUCUUCAAAAGGUUCACCUGACAACAAGCACGAUGGUAUGUUGUUGCCUGAAAAGUAUUCUACAUCGAGUCCUGCUCUUCAACCACUGGAUGACACACAACGAAAAUUAGGGGUGGAAAAAAGGAUAAGCACAACCAAGAAUCUUCACUUCCAAGUUCCAACUAAUAAGCAAGACUUGUCACAACUAAUUAUGGCCCUAAAAUUGCUGGAGCUAUGGCUGAACAGUUGUUUGAACAGUUAUUCCAGAGCCACUGGGCAUACUGCACGCGUUCAUCAUAGCCUUGAGUCACUUGCCCUUGCUAGAAAAAGCUUGAACUGUGAGUGCAAUGAAGAGCUUGCGGGGUUCAUCUAUGGAAAAUUAAGGACCCUAAAGAAGAAGAAGAAAAAUCCAAAUAGAGCAAUUGAAACUAACAUCACGGGUCAACCAGUGUCAGUAGAGGACACCCAAAUCUCAUGGGAGGAGACCUCUACCAACUUGAGAAAUGACCACAUGUUCCAAAAUAAGGAAAUGGAUAGUCAUGGCAAUUUCACAAAUGGUGCACUACAAGAGGUCUCAUCUGGUGUUGAACAUAUGAUCUCAGGUGCAGGAACUUGUUUAAAGAAACUCACAGAGAAUGCCAUUUGUCAAAUGAUGAGCUUCCUAACAUGAUUGUGGAGAAAAUAAUAGAGUUAGUUGAAAGACAAUGAUCAUGGCAAUUUCACAAAUGGUGCACCACGGGAGGUCUGCUGAUUGUUGGUCCAAGCACAGCUUUAAAUUCCGAGGAUUGCACGCGGCUCUGCGGCAAUGGGCGAACAGGAAAGGAAACCUGCACCUGCUGAUCUCAAACAAUAAGUUGGUGCCUGAUUGCCUCAAUGCGGUGGAAGAAAGGAGGCAUUUAUCUGACUCUGAGUUUCUUCUCCGUGUGCACGCAACAAGGAAGUUGGAGUCAUUACUCAAAUGGCAGCCCAUGUACUGGAAACAGAGGUCCAAGCUUAAUUGGUGCCGCAGCAAUUAUCAUGCUAAAAGGAAUUUUUUCGGAAUCAAGCUAGUAAAGAGGGUGGGGUGGAGCAUUUCGAGAUUUCUGACAAGCUGAGAAUUGCCAUGGAUUACUAUCAGAAUAUCUUUGGGCGCUCAUCCUCCUGCUCGCCUACUGUCAACCUUCUGUCAGUCUAUGUGCAGGCAGAGCAAAUUCAUUUAUCAGACCUUUGCACAGUGUUUAUGUGGGAAGAAGAUUUAUGGGCUAUUAAGUACAGUAUUCUCCAAACAACAGGAGUCCAGGGCUGGAUAGCUUCACCUAUGACUUUUAUAAAGCCAUGGACAUAGAGUUAUUCUCGCUGCUGCAGUUCAUUGAGAUUUGGCAGACUGGAGUUUUGUCAUCAUCGCCGCUUGUGCUAGCUGCCUAAACAUAGGGGACUAUAUUCAGUCAGCUUGUUGGUCAACAUGAUGAUAAGGGGCAUGUACAAUGGUUGAUAAGAUAUUCUUAUCUUAAGUUCUGCAUGUAAUUUAGAGAUGUCUACAAUGGUUGUGAGAUAUGUUGUGCUAAGAGGUCAU
RNA transcript from Triticum aestivum (bread wheat), 2996 nucleotides. It is a transcript of the gene named transcription termination factor MTERF15, mitochondrial, with no coding region annotated. Lineage: Eukaryota; Viridiplantae; Streptophyta; Magnoliopsida; Poales; Poaceae. The record is from RefSeq and is a predicted model, not a curated record. The transcript is spliced from 5 exons.